Molecule: ribosomal RNA, 1447 nt
Filed under: bacterium NLAE-zl-H529
Lineage: Bacteria
Description: bacterial SSU rRNA
Rfam family: Bacterial small subunit ribosomal RNA
Source: RNAcentral
GUCCUAUCAUGCAGGUCGAACGCUUCUUUCCUCCCGAGUGCUUGCACUCAAUUGGAAAGAGGAGUGGCGGACGGGUGAGUAACACGUGGGUAACCUACCCAUCAGAGGGGGAUAACACUUGGAAACAGGUGCUAAUACCGCAUAACAGUUUAUGCCGCAUGGCAUAAGAGUGAAAGGCGCUUUCGGGUGUCGCUGAUGGAUGGACCCGCGGUGCAUUAGCUAGUUGGUGAGGUAACGGCUCACCAAGGCCACGAUGCAUAGCCGACCUGAGAGGGUGAUCGGCCACACUGGGACUGAGACACGGCCCAGACUCCUACGGGAGGCAGCAGUAGGGAAUCUUCGGCAAUGGACGAAAGUCUGACCGAGCAACGCCGCGUGAGUGAAGAAGGUUUUCGGAUCGUAAAACUCUGUUGUUAGAGAAGAACAAGGACGUUAGUAACUGAACGUCCCCUGACGGUAUCUAACCAGAAAGCCACGGCUAACUACGUGCCAGCAGCCGCGGUAAUACGUAGGUGGCAAGCGUUGUCCGGAUUUAUUGGGCGUAAAGCGAGCGCAGGCGGUUUCUUAAGUCUGAUGUGAAAGCCCCCGGCUCAACCGGGGAGGGUCAUUGGAAACUGGGAGACUUGAGUGCAGAAGAGGAGAGUGGAAUUCCAUGUGUAGCGGUGAAAUGCGUAGAUAUAUGGAGGAACACCAGUGGCGAAGGCGGCUCUCUGGUCUGUAACUGACGCUGAGGCUCGAAAGCGUGGGGAGCAAACAGGAUUAGAUACCCUGGUAGUCCACGCCGUAAACGAUGAGUGCUAAGUGUUGGAGGGUUUCCGCCCUUCAGUGCUGCAGCAAACGCAUUAAGCACUCCGCCUGGGGAGUACGACCGCAAGGUUGAAACUCAAAGGAAUUGACGGGGGCCCGCACAAGCGGUGGAGCAUGUGGGUUUAAUUCGAAGCAACGCGAAGAACCUUACCAGGUCUUGACAUCCUUUGACCACUCUAGAGAUAGAGCUUUCCCUUCGGGGACAAAGUGACAGGUGGUGCAUGGUUGUCGUCAGCUCGUGUCGUGAGAUGUUGGGUUAAGUCCCGCAACGAGCGCAACCCUUAUUGUUAGUUGCCAUCAUUUAGUUGGGCACUCUAGCGAGACUGCCGGUGACAAACCGGAGGAAGGUGGGGAUGACGUCAAAUCAUCAUGCCCCUUAUGACCUGGGCUACACACGUGCUACAAUGGGAAGUACAACGAGUCGCUAGACCGCGAGGUCAUGCAAAUCUCUUAAAGCUUCUCUCAGUUCGGAUUGCAGGCUGCAACUCGCCUGCAUGAAGCCGGAAUCGCUAGUAAUCGCGGAUCAGCAUCGCCGCGGUGAAUACGUUCCCGGGCCUUGUACACACCGCCCGUCACACCACGAGAGUUUGUAACACCCGAAGUCGGUGAGGUAACCUUUUGGAGCCAGCCGCCUAAGUGA